GCAGAAACAUUCCAGCCAAUCAGCAGCAGACCCUCCCUCCCAGACCCUCCCACCUCCUGGACAGCAUCCAUUUUACAUUCAUUGUGAAGCUGCAUUCUUGGUGAGCUGUCCAGGAGGUGGGAGGGUCUGGGAGGGAGGGUCUGCUGCUGAUUGGCUGGAAUGUGUCUG
This 168-nucleotide microRNA precursor is filed under the name Pelobates cultripes (western spadefoot toad). Lineage: Eukaryota; Metazoa; Chordata; Amphibia; Anura; Pelobatidae. The record is from RNAcentral.